Long non-coding RNA from Oncorhynchus tshawytscha (Chinook salmon), 2286 nucleotides. NCBI's taxonomy places the organism in Eukaryota, Metazoa, Chordata, Actinopteri, Salmoniformes, Salmonidae. The record is from Ensembl.
AGUGGGCCCAUUAGACUCCUGCACUACGUAGGGAAUAGGUAGCCAUUUGGGAUGCAGACUAGGCUCGGACUGGGUCUGUGAAGUCAUGGAUGAAUCUAUCGGAUUGUUAUUUUGAAAAUUACCCAACACACCUCCUUGCUGUGUAAGAGCUAUUUGACGAAGGAGAGUGAUGGAGUGCUGCAUCAGAUAACCUGACCUCUACAAUCACCCGACCUCAACCCAAUUGAGAUUGUUUGAGAUGAGUUGGACUGCAGAGUGAAGGAAAAGCAGCCAACAAGUGCUCAGCAAAUGGGUGAACUCCUGUUGGAAAAGCAUUCCAGUCGCAGUGCUGAGUGCUGUGAGGGUGGAGAGGAAGUAGAGAGGAUAGUGAUCAGGACCCUCACACCACAGCCGCUCAGCCAUCCAUCCAUAAACAGGUUGUGGGCUGCUACUAAGGCUUUAUAGUCCUUUUCCAGGCCCAACCAAGAACUCUGGCAAGGCCUCAACUCCCCUCCCCUCCACCUUCCCCACCCUUCCACAGUACCCUGCACUCUACCUUCCCCUCUACACUGCUCUCCCCUACCCCUUUCCCUCAACUCCCUCCCCUACCCCUUUCCUCAACUCCCCUCCCCUACCGCUCCACCUUCCCUUCCCCUCUACACUGCUCUCCCCUACCCCUUUCCCUCAACUCCCUUCCCCUCCCCUAGCGCUCCACCUUCCCUUCCCCUCUACACUGCCCUCCUCUCCCCUCCACCCUCCACUCUACACUGCCCUCCACUCCCCUCCACCUUCCCCUUCAACCUGGCCUUCUCUGCCCUCCACCCUCCCCUCCACACUGCCCUUCUCUCCCUCCACCCUCCCCUCUACACUGUCCUCCUCUCCCCUACACCUUCCCAUCUACACUGCCCUUCUCCCCCUCCACCUUCCCAUCUACACUACCCUCCCCCCUUCACUGCCCCCUUCCCCUCCACACUGCCCUCCUCUCCCUUUCCCUCCACCCGUCCUCAGCAAGUUCUUCUGCUUUUCUGUCAAUUACAGCAGUAGUUUCUUGGUAAAUAAACUUUCGAGGCCAUUGCCUUUUAAAACGUGAGACUGUGGGUGGAAUGGAUGCCAGCACCAGAAGAGAAGAGAGAGGAGGAGAGGAUGCCAGAAGGAGAGAGAGGAGGAGAGGAUGCCAGGAGAGACAGGAGAGAGGAUGCCAAGAGGAGAGAGGAGAGAGGAUGCCAGAAGGAGAGGAGGAGAGAAGAUGCCAGAAGGAGAGAGGAGGAGAGAGGAUGCCAGAAGGAGAGAGAGGAGGAGAGGAUGCCAGAAGAAAUAGAGGAGGAGAGAGGAUGCCAAAAGGAGAGAGAGGAGAGAGGAUGUCAGAAGGAGAGAGAGGAGGAGAGGAUGCCAGAAGGAGAGAGAGAGGAUGCAAGAAGGAGAGGAGGAUAGAGGAUGCCAGAAGGAGAGAGAGGAGGAGAGGAUGCCAGAAGGAGAGAGGAGAGAGGAUGCCAAAAGGAGAGAGAGGAGAGAGGAUGCCAGAAGGAGAGAGGGGAGAGAGGAUGCCAAAAGGAGAGAGAGGAGAGAGGAUGCCAGAUUGAGAGAGAGGAGAAAGGAUGCCAGAAGGAGAGGAGGAGAGAGGAUGCCAGAAGGAGAGAGAAGGAGAGAGGAUGCCAAAAGGAGAGAGAGGAGAGAGGAUGCCAAGAGGAGAGAGGAGAGAGGAUGCCAGAAGGAGAGGAGGAGAGAGGAUGCCAGAAGGAGAGGAGGAGAGAGGAUGCCAGAAGGAGAGAGGAGAGAGGAUGCCAGAAGGAGAGAGGAGGAGAGGAUGCCAGAAGGAGAGAGGAUGCCAGAAGGAGAGAGGAGAAGAGAGAGGAUGCCAGAAGGAGAGAGAAGAGAGGAUGCCAGAAGGAGAGAGGAGAAAGGAUGCCAGAAGCAGAGAGGAGAGGAGAGAGGAUGCCAGAAGGAGAGAGGAGAGAGGAUGCCAGAAGGAGAGAGGAGAGGAGAGGAUGCCAGAAGGAGACAGGGGGAGAGGAUGCCAAAAGGAGAGAGAGGAGGAGAGGAUGCCAGAAGGAGAGAGAGGAGGAGAGAGUAUGCCAAAAGGAGAGAGAGGAGAGAGGAUGCCAAAAGGAUAGAGAGGAUAGCGGAUGCCAGAAGGAGAGAGGAGGAAAGAGGAUGCCAAAAGGAGAGAGAGGAGAGAGGAUGCCAAAAGGAGAGAGAGGAGAGAGGAUGCCAAGAGGAGAGAGGAUGCCAGAAGGAGAGGAGGAGAGAGGAUGCCAGAAGGAGAGAGAGGAGGAGAGGAUGCAAGAAGGAGAGAGGAGGAGAGAGGAU